UGGAGAGUUUGAUCCUGGCUCAGAUUGAACGCUGGCGGCAGGCCUAACACAUGCAAGUCGAACGGUAACAGGGAGCAGCUUGCUGCUCUGCUGACGAGUGGCGGACGGGUGAGUAAUGUCUGGGAAACUGCCUGAUGGAGGGGGAUAACUACUGGAAACGGUAGCUAAUACCGCAUAACGUCUUCGGACCAAAGUGGGGGACCUUCGGGCCUCAUGCCAUCAGAUGUGCCCAGAUGGGAUUAGCUAGUAGGUGGGGUAACGGCUCACCUAGGCGACGAUCCCUAGCUGGUCUGAGAGGAUGACCAGCCACACUGGAACUGAGACACGGUCCAGACUCCUACGGGAGGCAGCAGUGGGGAAUAUUGCACAAUGGGCGCAAGCCUGAUGCAGCCAUGCCGCGUGUAUGAAGAAGGCCUUCGGGUUGUAAAGUACUUUCAGCGGGGAGGAAGGUGUUGUGGUUAAUAACCRCAGCAAUUGACGUUACCCGCAGAAGAAGCACCGGCUAACUCCGUGCCAGCAGCCGCGGUA
This 528-nucleotide ribosomal RNA is filed under the name Cronobacter sakazakii. RNAcentral describes it as "bacterial SSU rRNA". It matches the Rfam family "Bacterial small subunit ribosomal RNA", at positions 1 to 522 of the family's 1533-position model. Lineage: Bacteria; Pseudomonadati; Pseudomonadota; Gammaproteobacteria; Enterobacterales; Enterobacteriaceae. The record is from RNAcentral.